Pelodiscus sinensis (Chinese soft-shelled turtle) is the source of this 1620-nucleotide non-coding RNA. The record is from RefSeq and is a predicted model, not a curated record. Lineage: Eukaryota; Metazoa; Chordata; Testudines; Trionychidae.
UUAUGCUUUCCGGGGUCCCACAAAAUGGUCAUCUGCCCGAGCUGACUAUUGUACCAAAAUGAAGAGAGAGUGUGAAACAAACAUAGUGAAAAAUACGACGGAAAAUUGUCUUGUCUGUGCAUCUCCUAGUAGGAGCUGCAGCUACAAGUGCAGCACUGCAAUAACAGGCAGCCUCCUUCAAGACCUGACAAUCAUUCCAAACUAGCUGCCAGGAGUCAAUAGCACAAUGCAAACUCCACCCGCGCUGAGAAACCAACUGGAUCUAUGCCUUCAUACCUCCAGUUCUCUCUAGAUGCAAGCGUCAUGAGACCCCUCUCAAAACCACUGCGCCUUUGUGACAGAGCACUGUGCUAACCCUCCUGACCUGAUUCAAAGCUCAAUGAAAGCAACACAGGAAUUCACCCUCUGUGGCAACUGACAUGAAAUGGCACUGAACAGUCAUCAACAUUCAUAUUCAUAUUUUGCAAAGCUUUGGUAUGAUGGAGAAGUCAGGACUGAGGGGUGAGCCACACCACCCAUGCCAGCUGCCACAGCCCCGAGGACCCAAAAGUGCUCCAGGGUCCAGGAAGGGUCCAGGAAGACCAAGAUCCACGAGGACACUGAGUGGUGGAACCAUGCCUGGACCCAGCUCAUAAAGCGGUGCAGUACCAUGUGUGCUGUCAUGAGAGAAAUGAUGGCACACCUGCUUGAUGUCACUCCUCCCUACCACUCUCUUGUCCCCCUGCUAUGCCCAUUCCCCCUCCAUCUGCCCCCCAUGCAAUGCCUCUGCUCUUUCUCCAAGCAAUGCCCAUGCCACCUCCCCAAGUGAUGCCCAUGCCUCCUUCUCCUGCCACCUCUGCCCCUGCUCCAGCUCCUCUCCCCCAUGGUCCCUGGACUCUCCCAACCCCAACUCUGAGGUCCCCCGCAGCUGAGGCAGCACAUCUAGCCACCCCCCACACCACUCAGAGACCCUCCUCCCCCUACAGGUUAUGAGCCCCCCUCUCCCUGCCCACCUUUUUUUAAUGAAACUUAAAAACAGACUUCAUUGUGUUGAAAAACUAACAGGUGUUUUUAUUGAGAGGUCAGGGAAGGGGUAAAGGGAGGGAUUGUGCUGGGAAAGGGAUGGGGCAGCAAGCCAGAGGCCUUGGGGAGACUUACUGGGGUUCUUGAGAGAACCUCUCUCUCAGGGCCUCCAGGAUGAGCACCCCAGCCUGAUGGGCCUAACGGAUGGCAGCUGUCCAUGGCUGCUCGAAGACUCUCCCCUCGAGGCUGGCAUUUGACCCUCACCCCAGGAGGCAAACCUCCCACUUCCUCUCCACAAUGUUGUGGAGGACAGAACCUGCCACGACCACCUUGGGGAUGUUGUGCUCCCCGACAUCCAGGCAGGUCACCAGGCACUCGACCUGGAUCCUGGCCCAGUUCAGGCGGGCAUUAAAUUGGUCCCUACUGGGGUCCAGGUGUCCUGUAUAAGGCUUCAUGAGCCAUGGCUUGAGGGGGCAGGCUACAUCCCUCAUGAUGCACCAUGACAUCUGCACAUCCCCGACUACUCGGCGGGGGAGGAACGUGACUGCCUACAGUUUCCCAUAAAGGCUAGAGUUCCAAAACACACAGGCAUCAUGUGCCCUGCCCGACCACCUAACA